AUGUUAGUGUCGACAGUGUGUUUGAUUCAGGCAUUAGCUUGUCCAAACAUAGAGCAAGCCUACGCCCGAAUCAAACACAUUGUCGAGAACGCUAGCA
This 97-nucleotide microRNA precursor is filed under the name Asparagus officinalis (garden asparagus). RNAcentral's name for it is "miR12139 stem-loop (aof-MIR12139)". The record is from miRBase by way of RNAcentral. Lineage: Eukaryota; Viridiplantae; Streptophyta; Magnoliopsida; Asparagales; Asparagaceae.